UACGGAGGGUGCAAGCGUUAUCCGGAUUCACUGGGUUUAAAGGGUGCGUAGGCGGGCAGGUAAGUCCGUGGUGAAAUCCCUCAGCUUAACUGGGGAACUGCGUCUGAUACUGGAUGGCUUGGAUUCGGGAGAGGGAUGCGGAAUUCCAGGUGUAGCGGUGAAAUGCGUAGAUAUCUGGAGGAACACCGGUGGCGAAGGCGGCAUCCUGGACCGAUAUUGACGCUGAGGAGCGAAAGCUAGGGGAGCAAACGGG
RNAcentral lists this ribosomal RNA (253 nucleotides) under uncultured bacterium. Its description in RNAcentral is "partial 16S ribosomal RNA". It matches the Rfam family "Bacterial small subunit ribosomal RNA", at positions 524 to 776 of the family's 1533-position model. The record is from RNAcentral.